CCUACGGGAGGCAGCAGUGGGGAAUCUUGCGCAAUGGGCGAAAGCCUGACGCAGCCAUGCCGCGUGAAUGAUGAAGGUCUUAGGAUUGUAAAAUUCUUUCACCGGGGACGAUAAUGACGGUACCCGGAGAAGAAGCCCCGGCUAACUUCGUGCCAGCAGCCGCGGUAAUACGAAGGGGGCUAGCGUUGCUCGGAAUUACUGGGCGUAAAGGGAGCGUAGGCGGAUAGUUUAGUCAGAGGUGAAAGCCCAGGGCUCAACCUUGGAAUUGCCUUUGAUACUGGCUAUCUUGAGUGUGGGAGAGGUAUGUGGAACUCCGAGUGUAGAGGUGAAAUUCGUAGAUAUUCGGAAGAACACCAGUGGCGAAGGCGACAUACUGGCCCAUUACUGACGCUGAGGCUCGAAAGCGUGGGGAGCAAACAGGAUUAGAUACCCUGGUAGUCCACGCUGUAAACGAUGAGUGCUAGUUGUCGGUCGAUGCAUGCAUGUCGGUGACGCGAGCUACGACAUUAAGUACACUCCGCCGUCGGGAGGUACGGUCGCGAGAAGUUAAAACUUAAAGUAGUAAGUUAGACGGCGUGAGACGUGCCGACGGACGACGACGAGGGAGGAGG
RNAcentral lists this ribosomal RNA (611 nucleotides) under uncultured bacterium. RNAcentral describes it as "bacterial SSU rRNA". The stretch from base 1 to 522 matches the Rfam family "Bacterial small subunit ribosomal RNA", at positions 338 to 873 of the family's 1533-position model. The record is from RNAcentral.